RNAcentral lists this ribosomal RNA (987 nucleotides) under Calandrella cinerea cinerea. RNAcentral's name for it is "partial 16S ribosomal RNA". It matches the Rfam family "Bacterial large subunit ribosomal RNA", at positions 1546 to 2855 of the family's 2925-position model. The record is from RNAcentral. RNAcentral also lists the same sequence under 1 other name. Lineage: Eukaryota; Metazoa; Chordata; Aves; Passeriformes; Alaudidae.
ACAUGAAUCCCUCAUCACUAACAGGCUAACCUAUCACAAUAGGAGAAUUAAUGCUAGAAUGAGUAACCAGGGUAACUCCCUCUACGACGCAAGCUUACAUCUGUACAUUAUUAACAAAUACCCAAUAUACGACUAAUCCAACAAGCAGAGUAUUAACCACAUUGUUAACCCGACAGAGGAGCGUCCGUAAGAAAGAUUAAAACCUGUAAAAGGAACUAGGCAAACCCGUCAAGGCCCGACUGUUUACCAAAAACAUAGCCUUCAGCAAACCAAAGGACAAGUAUUGAAGGUGAUGCCUGCCCGGUGACAUAGUUUAACGGCCGCGGUAUCCUAACCGUGCAAAGGUAGCGCAAUCAAUUGUCCCAUAAAUGGGGACACGUAUGAAUGGCUAAACGAGGUCUUAACUGUCUCUUACAGGCAAUCGGUGAAAUUGAUCUCCCUGUGCGAAAGCAGGGAUAACCCCAUAAGACGAGAAGACCCUGUGGAACUUCAAAAACAGCAACCACCCCAAUAUACAUUCACACCCAAAGCACUGGUUCGCAUUUUUUCGGUUGGGGCGACCUUGGAGCAAAACAAAACCUCCAAAAACAGGACCAUCCCUCCAAACUAAGAGCAACCCCUCAACGUGCCAACAGCUCCCAGAUCCAAUAUAAUUGAUCAAUGGACCAAGCUACCCCAGGGAUAACAGCGCAAUCUCCUCCAAGAGUCCAUAUCGACGGGGAGGUUUACGACCUCGAUGUUGGAUCAGGACAUCCUAGUGGUGCAGGAGCUACUAAGGGUUCGUUUGUUCAACGAUUAACAGUCCUACGUGAUCUGAGUUCAGACCGGAGCAAUCCAGGUCGGUUUCUAUCUAUGAUGAACUCUUCCUCGUACGAAAGGAUCGGAAAAGUGAGGCCAAUACCACAAGCAAGCCUUCGCCUUAAGUAAUGAAGCCAACUCAAUUACAAAAGGCUAUCACACCACACCAUGUCCAAGAAAAGGACGUCA